GAUAAACGCUGGCGGCGCACAUAAGACAUGCAAGUCGAACGAACUUAAUUCGAAUGUUUACAUUUGAAAGCGGUUAGUGGCGGACUGGUGAGUAACACGUAAGUAAUCUGCCUAUCAGAGGGGAAUAACAAUGAGAAAUCAUUGCUAAUACCGCAUAUGCCGAUAGUAUCGCAUGAUACAGUUGGGAAAGGAGCAAUCUGCUGAUAGAUGAGCUUGCGACUGAUUAGCUAGUUGGUUAGGUAAUGGCUGACCAAGGCGACGAUCAGUAGCCGGAUUGAGAGAUUGAACGGCCACAUUGGGACUGAGAUACGGCCCAGACUCC
Molecule: ribosomal RNA, 322 nt
Filed under: uncultured bacterium
Lineage: Bacteria
Description: bacterial SSU rRNA
Rfam family: Bacterial small subunit ribosomal RNA
Source: RNAcentral